Phrynosoma platyrhinos (Desert horned lizard) is the source of this 74-nucleotide non-coding RNA. The record is from the annotation of a GenBank genome assembly. NCBI's taxonomy places the organism in Eukaryota, Metazoa, Chordata, Lepidosauria, Squamata, Phrynosomatidae.
GGAUUUUUGUGGUGUAGUGGUUUUAGUGUUGGACUAUGACUCUGGAGAUCCAGGUUCAAAUCCUGGCUCAGCCA